RNAcentral lists this ribosomal RNA (634 nucleotides) under uncultured prokaryote. RNAcentral describes it as "bacterial SSU rRNA". It matches the Rfam family "Bacterial small subunit ribosomal RNA", at positions 848 to 1482 of the family's 1533-position model. The record is from RNAcentral.
GNAGCUAACGCGUUAAGUCGACCGCCUGGGGAGUACGGCCGCAAGGUUAAAACUCAAAUGAAUUGACGGGGGCCCGCACAAGCGGUGGAGCAUGUGGUUUAAUUCGAUGCAACGCGAAGAACCUUACCUACUCUUGACAUCCACGGAAUUUGGCAGAGAUGCCUUAGUGCCUUCGGGAACCGUGAGACAGGUGCUGCAUGGCUGUCGUCAGCUCGUGUUGUGAAAUGUUGGGUUAAGUCCCGCAACGAGCGCAACCCUUAUCCUUUGUUGCCAGCACUUCGGGUGGGAACUCAAAGGAGACUGCCGGUGAUAAACCGGAGGAAGGUGGGGAUGACGUCAAGUCAUCAUGGCCCUUACGAGUAGGGCUACACACGUGCUACAAUGGCGUAUACAAAGAGAAGCAAACUCGCGAGAGCCAGCGGACCUCAUAAAGUACGUCGUAGUCCGGAUUGGAGUCUGCAACUCGACUCCAUGAAGUCGGAAUCGCUAGUAAUCGUAGAUCAGAAUGCUACGGUGAAUACGUUCCCGGGCCUUGUACACACCGCCCGUCACACCAUGGGAGUGGGUUGCAAAAGAAGUAGGUAGCUUAACCUUCGGGAGGGCGCUUACCACUUUGUGAUUCAUGACUGGGGUG